Molecule: ribosomal RNA, 253 nt
Filed under: uncultured bacterium
Lineage: Bacteria
Description: partial 16S ribosomal RNA
Rfam family: Bacterial small subunit ribosomal RNA
Source: RNAcentral
CACGGGGGGAGCAAGCGUUGUUCGGAAUCACUGGGCGUAAAGGGAGUCUAGGCGGACAGGUAAGUGGAAUGUGAAAUCCCUCGGCUCACCCGAGGACCUGCAUCCCAAACUGCCUGGCUUGAGUAUGGGAGAGGAUGAGGGAAUUCCUGGUGUAGCGGUGAAAUGCGUAGAUAUCAGGAGGAACACCGGUGGCGAAGGCGCUCAUCUGGCCCAAUACUGACGCUGAAGCUCGAAAGCUAGGGGAGCAAACGGG